AGAGUUUGAUCAUGGCUCAGGAUGAACGCUGGCGGCGUGCUUAACACAUGCAAGUCGAACGUGAACCAGUAGCAAUAUUGGGGAAAGUGGCGGACGGGUGAGUAACACGUGGGUGACCUGCCUUGCAGCGGGGGAUAACGAGGGGAAACCUUCGCUAAUACCGCAUAGGCUUACACUGAUGGGAAUGGUGUGGGUAAAACUGAGGUGCUGCAAGAGGGGCCUGCGUCCGAUUAGCUAGUUGGUGAGGUAAAGGCUCACCAAGGCGAUGAUCGGUAGCUGGUCUGAGAGGACGAUCAGCCACACGGGAACUGAGAGACGGUCCCGACUCCUACGGGGGGCAGCAGUGAGGAAUAUUGGACAAUGGGCUAACGCCUGACCCAGCAACGCCGCGUGGAGGAUGAAGGUUUUUGGAUUGUAAACUCCUUUUGUGGGGGAAGAGUGAGGACGGUACCCCAAGAAUAAGUCACGGCUAACUACGUGCCAGCAGCCCGCGGUAAUACGUAGGUGACGAGCGUUAUCCGGAAUUAUUGGGCGUAAAGCGCCCGCAGGCGGCUGUUCAAGUCUGACGUGAAAUCGCUCGGCUUAACUGGGCGGGGUCGUUGGAAACUGAAUAGCUUGAGGCAAGGAGAGGGGCGUGGAAUUCCCGGUGUAGUGGUGGAAUGCGUA
Molecule: ribosomal RNA, 666 nt
Filed under: uncultured bacterium
Lineage: Bacteria
Description: bacterial SSU rRNA
Rfam family: Bacterial small subunit ribosomal RNA
Source: RNAcentral